This is a long non-coding RNA of Apis mellifera (honey bee), 624 nucleotides long. RefSeq lists it as uncharacterized. The transcript is spliced from 3 exons. NCBI's taxonomy places the organism in Eukaryota, Metazoa, Arthropoda, Insecta, Hymenoptera, Apidae. The record is from RefSeq and is a predicted model, not a curated record.
UAUUUUUCUGAGCGCUGAUAAUGCUAUUAAAAGACGAGCUCUAUAUUUUCCGUUUUCUAUAUUAUUUUUUUCAUGUAAAAUGAAACUAACAUCUGUAGAACGUAAAUAUUUUUUAUAUAGUUUCUUUUGUUCUUCUGUUAAACUACAAAACAGAACCUAAGAAAAAAUAUAUAUGAAUUGAAAUAACAAAUUAUGAAGUAUUAUGAAAAAUAAUGUAACAUGUUAUAAACCUGUUCAUUUUUUUCUGGUAAACUAACAUGAUGUUGUACAUCAUUUUUUGUUCUUCGGAGCAUAUAUGGUGUAAUAGCAUCUCUAAGCAUCAUAGCAACUUGAAGUGCUGUAGCUUCCUGAAGAGGUGUAGCAUUAGCAUAUCCUCCUCGUGUUAUAGGACCUGCACAAUGCUCUAGAAAUGCAGAAUUUUGCAUAGGACUACCAGUUAACAAAAGUCGAUGUGGUGUAGAAAACUCCUUUACUGCUUUACUGACCUGCAAUAAUAUAAUCUUGAACUUUCAUAAUUAAAGUUAAAUUGAACACAUAAAUUACCUUUGCUUGUGGAUUUCUUAUUUUAUGGCCUUCAUCAAGUAUAACAUAAUGCCAUUGAUUGGAUACAAUUCCAGAUUGAUG